GCAGAGAUAGUCAAGCAUGGCCAACGACGUUAGAUUCAGGGUCUAAUCCCUAGCGGUCCACGGGUUCGAAUCCCGCUCUCUGCACCA
This 87-nucleotide transfer RNA is filed under the name Methanomethylophilus alvi. RNAcentral describes it as "Candidatus Methanomethylophilus alvus tRNA-Leu". It matches the Rfam family "tRNA". Rfam says of the family: Transfer RNA (tRNA) molecules are approximately 80 nucleotides in length. Their secondary structure includes four short double-helical elements and three loops (D, anti-codon, and T loops). RNAcentral also lists the same sequence under 3 other names. The record is from RNAcentral. Lineage: Archaea; Methanobacteriati; Thermoplasmatota; Thermoplasmata; Methanomassiliicoccales; Methanomethylophilaceae.